GCCGGGGUGGUGGAAUUGGCAGACACACAGGACUUAAAAUCCUGCGGUAGGUGUACUACCGUGCCGGUUCGAGUCCGGCCCUCGGCACCA
Molecule: transfer RNA, 90 nt
Filed under: Alkalicoccus urumqiensis
Lineage: Bacteria; Bacillati; Bacillota; Bacilli; Caryophanales; Bacillaceae
Description: Bacillus urumqiensis tRNA-Leu
Rfam family: tRNA
About the family: Transfer RNA (tRNA) molecules are approximately 80 nucleotides in length. Their secondary structure includes four short double-helical elements and three loops (D, anti-codon, and T loops).
Source: RNAcentral